RNAcentral lists this long non-coding RNA (1947 nucleotides) under Felis catus (domestic cat). Its description in RNAcentral is "lncRNA (ENSFCAG00000041104.2)". Lineage: Eukaryota; Metazoa; Chordata; Mammalia; Carnivora; Felidae. The record is from RNAcentral.
UUGAACUCUUGACUCUGCCAAAUCCUAAUUAAGUAACCCUAAGGCAAUUUACUUAACCUUUUUAUGUCAGCCCUGGUCCCACAGUCAACAAUUGGCAUACUUCAAAGUGUGUAAUUGAAGGGAACAUAACAAGGGUGUGCAGGAUUCAGGAAGUAAUGGAGAGUAAUGAAAAGCCAGAACUAGCAACAGCAGGAAACUGUUUCCACCUGGGGCCUGAAAAGAAAAGGAGGGGGAAAGGUGUAACCAUGUUACAGAGACAGCUGGAGACACAGAAGUGGGACCACUAACUUGAACUAUGGUCAUGAAGAAAGUCAGUUCCUGCCAGAACCUUAGCAAGGCUUUUUUUCCUUGAUGUGAUUUUUCUACUCCGAUUUAAUGAAUUAAAAAGUGAAGCAAAUUGGAAAAUGAAAAUGGUGGAAAAUACAAGUGUAAUUUCUUUGGAUACUUUUAUAGAUAAUGUUAGAAGGACUGACUAUUACUUGAAGUACCCAGCAUCGUCUUCAACAUUCUCCUCAAAUCCUGCCACUGUGCAAGCAUUAUUCUUUGUAUUCAUGAACAUUUUACAUUAUUCCAUGAUGAAGAAUCUAUACCUCUAGAGAAGCCUGCUAUGCUCAUCUUUCUGGUCAUGAAACAUAUCUGUUAUCAGUGCUUUAAAAUGGACCAUGUGAGCACUGGGUAUUGUAUAUUCUCUGGUGUUGCCCAAACUUACUGUUUGAAAGCUACAGCACUGAAUUAUAUUUCUGUCCUGGAGAAAGCUAUCAACCUUGGAACACUCUUUUCUCUGAACCCCAACAUUUCUAAAAACUUCUUUAUUCUAAGAAAGAGAAGGUAAGUGUGUCUUAUUUUGUUGAGAAAAACUCUGUAGAAGAGGUAGCGUAUUUAUCCAACAUUUCCCAAUAGGGAACAAAACAAAAAGAAAAACAAAACUUAGACUUGACAAUUCAAGGUAAGUUGAAAGUUACAAGGUUUGUCACAAACUAAGAGGCAAAAUAUUCCUGAUCUUUAAAAUUAUUGAACAAUGUUAAGAAGUCUUCUAUGAGGUCAUGACAUAUAAAUAUCUGAGCAGAGAUCAGAUGUCUGGUAUGUAUAAGAGAACUUUCAUAGAGUCUGAGAGACUUGGCUGCAUCUAAGUAGUGUGUUCAUUAGUAGGGGGUGAAUGACAAAAAAAAUAGUCUACUAAUUUAUGUGGAGGUUAAUUGUGGUUUAGAGCCAACAGUGCCUGGUUAAUACAUCACAGCUCAGAGCCUAAAUUAAUUUGAUUAAAAACCAUGUUGUUUUUGCAAAUUAAUUUUCUCCACGUGUUGCUUUCUGGUGUGUCAAGACACAGCAGUGUCCUGAUUAAAAACUCACUAGUUCAGUAUAUGUGCAUAUCUUUGACUUAGAAAAAAAAUACAAAACAAAACCGUAAACAAGGCGCUUGUAGUUAUUUGCAGUUGUACUUUUAGUGCCCAACAUCCCAUCAAUCAUUCUACGCAGAGGAACAAUUCCACCUUGGUGUACCAGAAAGUUUGUACAAGUUCACAGGGACCACGUUGGCAAGGAUUGACUGCAGUCUACCUCAAGUCUGUAAAAUACCUCGUAUUCUCUGAAACAGGUAGGGAAAGAUAACAAGCUUGGUGAGGAGUUGCCACGAGGUCAUUUCUCAUCCACCUCUUUACCUCGAGGAAACUGCCACAAGUUGUUUCUGGUCCAUCUCCCUAGUUUCAUUUGAACUCAAGACUUUCACCUUAUCCUUCUCUAAUGCUUUAAAAAAACUUCUUGGCUUAGUAUUCAGCAUUGACUCUUCAAUGUCAGAGCAAACUACCAAGCAUGCUGCAUGUUUCCUGGCCUUUUUGAGUUAGUAUCUUCCUGUGGGUCUUGGGACACAGAAGCUGACAAAAUGCUGACCUUGCCACUGCCAGCUGUGUAAGUAAUAAAUUGUCUGAAUUCAUAUGGGAUACUGUCUCC